Cercocebus atys (sooty mangabey) is the source of this 1094-nucleotide long non-coding RNA. RefSeq lists it as uncharacterized. Lineage: Eukaryota; Metazoa; Chordata; Mammalia; Primates; Cercopithecidae. The transcript has 3 exons. The record is from RefSeq and is a predicted model, not a curated record.
AGAAAAACCUCAGCCUGUACACCUCUUUAUGACAGAACAACACAGAAAGAGAAAGACAAAGAAAAGACUACUCUAGGAGGAAAUGGAUGAAACAAUAUGAUUCAUACCACAAAGUACCAGAAAGUACACCAGAGUCAAUACACCAGCACUGGUCACACAAAUCCUUUUCUCCCAUCAGUCAAGAUUUUGGACAGGAAAAAUGAACAAAGAGUGAUAUUUACUGUCUACUUGACCAAAUUCCACAGAGAGGGGCCUGGAAUCUGACUGGAACAGAAACAGCACACUCAGACAUGAAAAACUGUCCUGGCUUAAAGGGUUCCUUUCCUCUCAGGAUUAAUGUCACCAGCCAGGUUCCUAAGCUAUGUGGAACACCCAGGACCAGAAGAAUAUAAAAUUGCAAAAGCUGGUGGCUCCUGAGUCCAAGAGUUCCUGGUUUUCCUGGACACAAACGAUAGCGCAGCACUUUCUUCUCCGUGUGCCAGAGGCCUGGGGUUCUGCAGAAGAGGCCUGGAGGACCCAGACACUGCAAGGUCUGCGCUCAGUAUAUUCUGGGCCCUGUCCUCUCACCUUCUAUUUCUUGUAUGGCCCCCAUACUCAUGCCAGCUAUCCUGGAACAGUCAAGAGUUCAAUUGUGACCUGCUUCCUCCCUCACCCUCUUCUCCCCAACCUCCACACCACACUUCUUUGGGAAGAUUUGUAAAAAUUAAAGUUAUUAUAUCCAUGUAACUUUCUGUAUUUCUUUUAAAAUCCUUGUGCUACUAAGUUAAAGGGCUUUGACUCCUGGAUCUAAAAAAGUCACCAACUCUGGCUAAAUCUUAAACAUUGACAGCAGUUGAAGCCUCAUCUUCAGACCUAGGAGAAGAAGAAAAUCAGAAUAAGCUGCAGUCAUGAGACAUGGGUCCAGAAAUUAAAACUAUUCAACCCCUGUAUUCCCAGAGACUAUUGCAGAAGAAGUGGGUGUGUGAGCUUGUAAGGAUCCAUUUUAAGAGAUAAAAUUAGUUCAGAGUUUUUCUCUAUAAAUAAACAGUUGCGUUUGUUGUUGUUUUGAGACAGUCCAGCUAUGUCAUCCAGGCUGGAGUACAGUGGCAUUAUCC